Myxocyprinus asiaticus (Chinese sucker) is the source of this 2168-nucleotide long non-coding RNA. RefSeq lists it as uncharacterized. NCBI's taxonomy places the organism in Eukaryota, Metazoa, Chordata, Actinopteri, Cypriniformes, Catostomidae. The record is from RefSeq and is a predicted model, not a curated record. The transcript is spliced from 3 exons.
UCCCUCUAAAAUGUCAAAUGACUCCAAAAUUGCCCGUUACCUCCCCAGAUGACCCAACUCCAUUUAAAAUGAAUGAUUUUGUCAUUUUACCUGACUUUUCAUUCUGCUUAUUGGGGCGUGAUCUGAUUAACAAAAUUGGUGCCAAGAUACCAUUUGAAUCUAACUUAUUGCAACUUAUAUUUUCUUCAGUGUAUUCUCAGUCUGUGUGUACAGGAACUUGUGGUGAAGUGCUCAGCUCAACAUCUGUGAAGUCUUCUGAUGUGAAACAGGAACUACUCAAUGUCAACCCAGCAUUGUGGGCCGCCCACAAAGAUGAGGCUGGCCUAACUGACGUUAGGCCAUAUGUGGCUAAACUUCGGUCUAACAUACCAGUAUGCUGCAAACAGUACCCACUCUCAAAAGAAAAGGAAGAAGGUAUUGGUUCAAUAAUACAAUGGUUGCUGUCACAAGGUAUAUUGAAACCAACCAAUUCACCAUAUAACACACCAAUCAAUCCUGUCAAAAAGGCUAAUGUGUGCCAGUCUUGCCUGUCACGCAGCCCCUGUUCGCGUUCAUGUACGGAGGUCGACAGUACACGCGGACAAGAAUGCCCCAAGGAUUUAGAGACUCGCCUGCUGUGUUCUCUGCUGUAGUGCACGCUACUUUGAAAGACACCAAGCUGCCACCACAGACCUGUCUGCUGCAAUACGCUGAUGACAUCCUGGUUUCAAGGCGUCAAAAGAUAUGCUGCAAUGGGUGAAACUGAGAGUUGACUAUCUGGGUCAUGAGCUGCAGAAAGGAACAAUAGGAAAAAGUUUGAAUCUCCACAGAUAGAAUCAAGACAAUAACCACCUUUCAGCAUCCGACAACAAAGACCCAAAUGCAAAGUUUUCUGGGCCUAGUUAAUUAUUGUCGAGCCUGGGUCCCGAACUGCUCAUUGUACAACAAGAUAUUGAGAGAGGCCACACUCUCAGGGGCCGAAGAGCGUAACAGUUUAAGUUCCCCAUCAGCUCUAGGUUUGCCAAACUAUGGUGAACCUUUCCAUCUGUACGUGCAUGAGGCUGGAGACACAGCAGCAGCGAUCCUCGCCCAGUCCCAUGGUGGAACAUACAGACCGGUGGCGUACUUGUCGAAGACAUUAGAUGCAGUUGCCAAAGGCCUCCCUGCGUGUCUGUGGGCAGUUGCUGCUGCAGCAUUGAUGGUACUAGACGCAGAACGCAUUGUUCCCACACCCUAUGACUGUGCACACCUUGCAUCAGAUAGUCUUACUCACCCAUUUGUCAACGGGUUCUGAUCAGGUGUUUAAAACCUACUAAGUUGGGGGAGCCAAAGUAUCUGGGCCCAGCUACUGUCCUGGCGGUGACCAGAACCAGUGAGCCAACGGAUCUUCAACCACAGUGGAUACAUGCAAGCUGCGUGAAACCUGCACCUGAGGAGAGCCCGACUAUUUCGAAAGCGAACGGUGAAAGUACUGGAGGAGCUGAACACGCAGUGCCAGUGCCUAACCGGGAACUUGAGAAUUAGAAGGGCCAGAGGAGGGACGAAAAUUACAUAAUAUUGCUAUGCUUCAUUAUCUACACUUACACGCUGUCAAAGUCAACUGAGAUUCUGAGUGAUCCUUCCAGGAUCAAAGCGGGCAUUGUGAGAAAAGUUGACCUCUUAAGUUGACCUUCCAGUAAAUAUAUUUAAGCAAGCUGACAUUUAAUGGCUAGUACUCAGUUCCUAUUUUCAUAGUGUGUGUGUGUGUGUGUGUGUGUGUCAGUAACGGAAAUCAUGUCGAAAGGGUUCCCGGUUUCACUCCUCUGAGUGUCUCAGGUCAAAAGUUGAACACCGUCUAGUUGAACUCUUCUAUUCUAGAAUAUUUUCGUUUCAUUUAUGUAAUGAAUGCAGAAUCUGUAUGUAUGUCUUCUUCAAAUAAGAUAAUGGUUGAUCUCAUUGGACAAUGUAAUUAGUGUACUGCUUUUCCUGUUCCUACAAAGGUAUAUAAUGCUGUGCUUUGACUUGAUACUUAGGGGCCAAUCCUGAAAAAUUCCUAACAAAUAUCUAUAACGUUUUUUUUUUCCUCAUCUAAAUUUAGCUUCAUUAAUCAGCAUGUUAGGAGCCUUUCAUAACAAACAAACUGAUUUUUGUUCUAAUUUUGUGAAAAUUAAUCAAAGAUGUUAUCAUCUCUGGCAUGGAUGGCAAAUAAA